This 112-nucleotide ribosomal RNA is filed under the name uncultured bacterium. RNAcentral's name for it is "partial 16S ribosomal RNA". It matches the Rfam family "Bacterial small subunit ribosomal RNA", at positions 1355 to 1482 of the family's 1533-position model. The record is from RNAcentral.
CGGCGCGGUGAAUACGUUCCCGGGCCUUGUACACACCGCCCGUCAAGCCAUGGAAGCUGGGGUACCCGAAGCCGCCUUUAACAAGCGUCUAAGGUAAACCAGUGACUGGGCU